Long non-coding RNA from Triticum urartu, 1290 nucleotides. RefSeq lists it as uncharacterized. NCBI's taxonomy places the organism in Eukaryota, Viridiplantae, Streptophyta, Magnoliopsida, Poales, Poaceae. The record is from RefSeq and is a predicted model, not a curated record.
GCAGUUCUUCCCCAAAUCGACCAUCCCUCCAACAACCUUACCACCGCCCUUCCAAACCCUAGAUCUGGGCAGUCCGUUCUUCCCCUUCCCCGUGCGCCGCCGCCACUACAUCUCUUCCUCUCCCUCUCCGAUCCACACACGCCCUGCUACGGCCUCACCUCGCUGGCCUGCCUUUGGAUGGAACCGUCCUGGCCUAGUCCUUGCCAGAUCUGGCUGCACCGGUCGUCGGUGCUGCUGGAUAUGGCCGCUCCGGGCCUCAUCACCACCACCCCAAGUGUGCACCUCUCCACCGCCACUUCCCCGUCGUCUUCACAUCCGCCUCGCCCAGUUCCAGAGUAGUCGCGUGUCUCCCGAGGAGCCCGACCCCGGCGGCCUCUCCAUGGACUCCCUCCACCAUAGCUAAGGCAGCGCCACUGCAUCCAGAACACGGUUCAACCUCCAGAACGCUUGUGGCAAGCACCAGAUCGUGAGUUCAAGUAGGUCAACCGCGAGUUGCAUCUACAUCGACAGGUUCUCUUCUUUGUGGGCCUGCACCUUCCACGUGGGCUGUGGAGGACGGAUGGCGCUGUGCUGUUCGGGCUGCAACAUGACGGGCAGCGGUUCUACGUCCCCUCUCAGAGCAGCUCUUUCAUGGUUGUCUGCAUAGGCCUCGUGGCACCAUUGUCUAGGGCUUGUUUGCUGUUGCCCACUUGUACCUCAUGGAAGCCUCAAGCGUGGAAGCCAGCGCACUGUACACACUCAUUCAGGCUCAGGCAUGAACCAAGGAAAAGUUCACAGCAGAAAACUGAAGCUCUAGCACGUGUGCCAGCCGAUGAAGCUCGCCUUAACCCAUCGCUCAUUGCUAAGUUGCAGGUCUUCCAUAUACAUCCACAAUCAUGUGGAGGUGUGGUUAAGAUGUGAUCUUUAAAGCAUUGCAAGUAUGGUAACUCUUUGAAUGUUGUUUCACAAGAUGUUGGCAAGUUUGGUAUUUACUAUUUUGAAGACAUCGCAGGAAGUUAUUCAACAAACGGUUGCGACCAAGCAAUUUGUCUUCCUGGACAUGGCUCCUUCUGUGCAUCAAAGCUCAAACCAUUUGUCUAGCUUAGUUUGAAGAAAAAUAAAAUCUUAGUCUUAUGUAAAUUCUGUUUAUUGAUGUAGCUAGAUGCAACUCUACUCACAUAUGUGUUUUGUCAGUUCUCUUUAUUGAUGUAGCUGGAUGUUACUGAACGCAUGUAGGUCUUGUGUAAAUUAUGUUUAUUGAUGUAGCUGGAUGCUACUGAAAGCUUGAAUGAAUGUUGAAGUAUUGAUAUA